Molecule: long non-coding RNA, 1868 nt
Filed under: Homo sapiens (human)
Lineage: Eukaryota; Metazoa; Chordata; Mammalia; Primates; Hominidae
Description: HSALNT0040818
Rfam family: ZEB2 antisense RNA 1 conserved region 4 (bases 549-626)
Source: RNAcentral
CCUGAGACACACGACUGCAUAUAAAUACAUGUUUAAUAAAUUUUGGCCAGAAAUGGUGAGAAGAAAAAGCAUGAAGAAGCCGCGAAGUGUGGGGGAGAAAAAGGUGGAAGCGAAGAAACAGCUCCCGGAGCAAACUGUACAAAAACCUCGCCAAGAGUGUCGGGAGGCAGGACCGUUAUUCCUGCAGAGCAGGAGAGAGACGAGAGACCCUGAAACACGCGCCACCUAUCUUUGUGGGGAGGGAUAAUUGAAGCGCCCUGAGCGUACCAGAGCCAGAAAAAAAAAUGCUGCAUGGGAGCUGCAUCUUAGGGCAUGUGUAUUAGGGUGUGUGCAUGAUGAAUUUCUGGACUGGAUCCCAAUAUUAAAAAGUAGUUUGGCAUUUUAAUAAAGGGUCUCUAAGUAAAUUAAAAUAGAACACUCGGUUGGCCGAUCUCUGAAUCUCUCUACACCUCGGGGAGACCUCACUACAAAGUAAGGGAGAGUGUGUAGGGAGGCAGGAGGAGAAACGAGAAAGGCCAUAGAGAAACUUAGCAGGGAAGGGAGAGCAUGAUAUUAAACGGCAUGGGGUCUAAGUUUUGGAGUAUAUAUUUUUUGAUAUUACAAUUAAAGUAAGAUUAAAAAGAAAAGACUCCACCUUUGCUCUGAAGGGAUUGGUUAUGCAAAUAUGGAAGGGAUUUCCUGGAGAAUACAGCUUUCUACUGUAUGGUUAAUUAAAUAAUCACUCAAAAGCUUCCAACGUGACGCUUCUGUCGUAAUCCAAUCAGGUUACAUAGGUCCUAAACAAGAAAGAUAUUUUCCACAUCUGGAAGUCAGCAAUUUAGCAAGUACUGCACAUUAUUAACCAAUUCAGAGCCCACUUCCCAGGGGAAUUUUUUUGAAGUUUAAGUGUUCUUAACCAAUGCUCUGCUGUUUUGUUAAUCAAAAAGCUGGUUUACACUGCACAUAAUUGGAACUAAUAUAGAAGUAAAUAAAGACAGCCAAAUUUGAGGAUGCUGAGCACAGGCAUUUAUCGGAAAAGGAAGAAAUCUCCUAUCCUCGGAUGGUUCAGGCUCAAUUUCUUAAAUAACUGUGAGACUUUUUUUUUUUUCCUAAAGAGUGAAAGUGCUUGAGAACCUCAGAGCACAAAUAAACUUCUAGCCUCACAGCAUUUAGGAUUCUUCGGAAAGGUAAAGGUGGAGGUGUUAAGAGGACCAGAGAGCUGCCUCACACCAAUUUUUAAGCUUUAAUAUUGUUAAAUAUGUUACACCCUCCUGUUUCCAGUCUGAUGAAAUCUGAAACAAAUAAUACCCUGAUCCAACACUAUAUUAAGAUAAACUGCUUUGAACUGUGCUUUGAAUGUGUGCCUAAAGCAAGACUUUGAAUGCAAGAGUCACUGGCAAUUGCACUCAAAGGAGGGACAAGCCACCACAUGGGUUGCCACAUCCACACUCCCAGAGAAAGCUUCACAUGUGAGAUAAAUGCACUCAAAGAUUCCUCACAAGUAGCUCUUUGGAGCUUCAGAUGUGAAAUGGAUCAUUCCUCAAUCUGUAAUAGACCCUUCUGUGAAGCUCUUCAAUCAAACCAGAGAAUUCAAGAGUUUCCAACACCUAAGAGUGGUAUUUGGCAAAUGGUGGGCCAAAGGAAUAAAGAAGGCAUGCAAAACUCUUGACAGAAGACAUUCAGAAAUUGAUUUGAUAUCAGAUACAAGGAGAAAAUAUGCCAGUAAGAAAAUGCAUUUUUCAAGAUUAAAUUCGGCAUUUGUUACUUAAUAGCAUUUGUCAUAUUCCAAUUUUUCAUAUGUAGUAAAUUCAUUUCAAAUCAUUUCGCUCUUCCAAGUGCCUUUGUGUAUUGUAUUUCUUUUUUCACAUCCUUUUGGAUAACAUUUGAGA